CGCGUAGGCGGCUUUAUAAGUCGGGGGUGAAAGCCUGUGGCUCAACCACAGAAUUGCCUUCGAUACUGUAGAGCUUGAGACCGGAAGAGGUAAGUGGAACUGCGGGUGUAGAGGUGAAAUUCGUAGAUAUUCGCAAGAACACCAGUGGCGAAGGCGGCUUACUGGUCCGGUUCUGACGCUGAGGCGCGAAAGCGUGGGGAGCAAACA
RNAcentral lists this ribosomal RNA (207 nucleotides) under uncultured bacterium. RNAcentral describes it as "partial 16S ribosomal RNA". It matches the Rfam family "Bacterial small subunit ribosomal RNA", at positions 568 to 774 of the family's 1533-position model. The record is from RNAcentral.